RNAcentral lists this long non-coding RNA (272 nucleotides) under Elaeis guineensis (African oil palm). RNAcentral describes it as "long non-coding RNA (EGUI_LNC029528)". Lineage: Eukaryota; Viridiplantae; Streptophyta; Magnoliopsida; Arecales; Arecaceae. The record is from RNAcentral.
UUGGCUACUGUGAUGGCCAUGGCAGCACCGACCACAGCCACCUCAAAUCCUGAAGACCAUUCUUAUGGCCCAGAUCACCACCGCGUGGUUAAAUCAUCCUUUGCCGAAAGGCCCAUUCAUUGCCGCAGCGAGAUCACCGGCAUCAAGAAUGAAAGCAAGCCCCAAAGCUCACCAUCGCCAGCCCGGCCAUCCACCAGAGGAUGAUGCCAACGAGAUGGAGGAGACAUCAGCAUAACCAAUGUCUCAAGACCAGCCAUAUACAACCAGACCAA